This 675-nucleotide ribosomal RNA is filed under the name Rhodobacteraceae bacterium DF16. RNAcentral's name for it is "bacterial SSU rRNA". It matches the Rfam family "Bacterial small subunit ribosomal RNA", at positions 10 to 737 of the family's 1533-position model. The record is from RNAcentral. Lineage: Bacteria; Pseudomonadati; Pseudomonadota; Alphaproteobacteria; Rhodobacterales; Paracoccaceae.
AGUUUGAUCCUGGCUCAGAACGAACGCUGGCGGCAGGCCUAACACAUGCAAGUCGAGCGCACUUCGGGUGAGCGGCGGACGGGUUAGUAACGCGUGGGAACGUACCCUUUUCUGCGGGAUAGCCUUGGGAAACUGAGAGUAAUACCGCAUACGCUUCGGGGGAAAGAUUUAUCGGAGAAGGAUCGGCCCGCGUUAGAUUAGAUAGUUGGUGGGGUAAUGGCCUACCAAGUCUACGAUCUAUAGCUGGUUUUAGAGGAUGAUCAGCAACACUGGGACUGAGACACGGCCCAGACUCUACGGGAGGCAGCAGUGGGGAAUCUUAGACAAUGGGCGCAAGCCUGAUCUAGCCAUGCCGCGUBUGUGAUGAAGGCCUUAGGGUCGUAAAGCACUUUCGCCAGAGAUGAUAAUGACAGUAUCUGGUAAAGAAACCCCGGCUAACUCCGUGCCAGCAGCCGCGGUAAUACGGAGGGGGUUAGCGUUGUUCGGAAUUACUGGGCGUAAAGCGCGCGUAGGCGGAUCAGAAAGUAUGGGGUGAAAUCCCGGGGCUCAACCUCGGAACUGCCUCAUAAACUACUGGUCUAGAGUUCGAGAGAGGUGAGUGGAAUUCCGAGUGUAGAGGUGAAAUUCGUAGAUAUUCGGAGGAACACCAGUGGCGAAGGCGGCUCACUGGCUCGA